Molecule: ribosomal RNA, 894 nt
Filed under: Triticum aestivum (bread wheat)
Lineage: Eukaryota; Viridiplantae; Streptophyta; Magnoliopsida; Poales; Poaceae
Description: partial small subunit ribosomal RNA
Source: RNAcentral
AUGGGCUACUCAGGCGCUGUGCAAUGGUGGGACGAGUGGCAGCUGCGCAUCCUCGUGCUUGGUAGCCUGGUGAUUCAGUAUGUCCUCCUCGCUGCUUCCGUCGCGCGUAAGUUCCCCAUCAGAUCCUGGUUUAGACCCUUCAUCUGGCUAGCGUACCUGGGCAACGAUGCUGUUGCAAUCUAUGCGCUCGCCACCCUCUUCAACCGCCACAGGAAGCCACAGCAGGAGAAUGGAGAUGGCGGCAGCAGCAUCCUGGAGGUGUUGUGGGCGCCUAUCCUCCUGAUACACCUUGGUGGACAAGAUGGCAUAACCGCCUACAACAUCGAGGACAAUGAGUUGUGGACGCGGCACAUCCUCACCUCGGUGUCUCAGGUCACCGUGGCCAUCUACGUCUUCUGGAAAUCAUGGCCAGGCAACGACACAAGACUCUUGCAGGCGGCAAUAUUGCUUUUCAUCCCCGGCAUCCUCAAAUGCUUCGAGAAGCCCUUGGCUCUCAAUAGAGCUAGCGUUAACAGCCUUGUCAGCUCCAGCGAGCCAAUUCGGAGAUCAAUAAACACACAGAACCUCAAAAUUGAUCCACUUGCAGAUUUCAUUGAGAAAGCAACCAGUCCUGCUGAGGAGAAUAGUUAUCUUUUGACAGCAGCCACGCCGGUGGACUUCACUCCCUAUAAGCUAUUUGUGGACUUUGCAUCUCCUUCUGCUAAUGAUCGGAUCAGGAUGCUGCUGUCCUUCUCAGCACUGAAUGACAACUAUGCUAUUGUAAGCUGCAGCAUUGGCUCUCUGAGACAUUUCAGCUCCUCUACACCAAAGAAAAGAUGUUCUCCAUUGAGUCUGGCUUUGCAGGCCGCUCCAGUAGCAGUGUCCAUGCCCGUGAGAGCAUAUCGGAGCAAAUAG